GACAGUUCGGUCCCUAUCUGCCGUGGACGUUUGAGAUUUGAGAGGGGCUGCUCCUAGUACGAGAGGACCGGAGUGGACGAACCUCUGGUGUUCCGGUUGUCACGCCAGUGGCAUUGCCGGGUAGCUAUGUUCGGAAAAGAUAACCGCUGAAAGCAUCUAAGCGGGAAACUUGCCUCAAGAUGAGAUCUCACUGGAACCUUGAGUUCCCUGAAGGGCCGUCGAAGACUACGACGUUGAUAGGUUGGGUGUGUAAGCGCUGUGAGGCGUUGAGCUAACCAAUACUAAUUGCCCGUGAGGCUUGACCAUAUAACACCCAAGCAAUU
RNAcentral lists this ribosomal RNA (323 nucleotides) under Pseudomonas syringae pv. syringae. RNAcentral describes it as "bacterial LSU rRNA". It matches the Rfam family "Bacterial large subunit ribosomal RNA", at positions 2625 to 2925 of the family's 2925-position model. The record is from RNAcentral. Lineage: Bacteria; Pseudomonadati; Pseudomonadota; Gammaproteobacteria; Pseudomonadales; Pseudomonadaceae. RNAcentral also lists the same sequence under 1 other name.